RNAcentral lists this ribosomal RNA (502 nucleotides) under uncultured bacterium. RNAcentral describes it as "partial 16S ribosomal RNA". It matches the Rfam family "Bacterial small subunit ribosomal RNA", at positions 28 to 507 of the family's 1533-position model. The record is from RNAcentral.
GACGAACGCUGGCGGCGUGCUUAACACAUGCAAGUCGAACGGUGAAGGGGUCUGCUUUUGUGGGCCCUGGAUGAGUGGCGAACGGGUGAGUAACACGUGAGUAACCUGCCCCCUUCUUCUGGAUAACCGCAUGAAAGUGUGGCUAAUACGGGAUAUUCUGGGUCUGUCGCAUGAUGGGUCUGGGAAAGAUUGCGCCUUUGGGUGUUUUUGGUGGGGGAUGGGCUCGCGGCCUAUCAGCUUGUUGGUGGGGUGAUGGCCUACCAAGGCGGUGACGUGUAGCCGGCGUGAGGGGGUGGACGGUCACACUGGGACUGGGUUACGGCCCAGGCUCGUACGGGAGGCAGCAGUGGGGAGUAUUGCACAAGGGGUGCAAGCCUGAUGCAGCGACGCCGUGUGAGGGAUGGCGGCCUUCGGGUUGUAAACCUCUUUCGCCAGUGAAGCAGGCCUGCUCCUUGUGGGUGGGUCGACGGUAGCUGGAUAAGAAGCGCCGGCUAACUACGUG